Molecule: ribosomal RNA, 420 nt
Filed under: Triticum aestivum (bread wheat)
Lineage: Eukaryota; Viridiplantae; Streptophyta; Magnoliopsida; Poales; Poaceae
Description: partial small subunit ribosomal RNA
Source: RNAcentral
AUGGCCAUGAUACAUCCCAGGAGACUUGCUCAGUUGGUGAGGAAGUGGCAAAAGGUCAAGCACCCCUCCAGUGAUGACAAAGCAUGCUGCACAACAUCACCGAUUGCAGACAAAGGGCACUGCACCAUGUACACAGCCGAUGGAAGGCGGUUCGAGGUCCCCUUGACGUACCUCGACACGACGCUCUUCGGCGAGCUGCUAAGGAUGUCCCAGGAGGAGUUUGGGUUUGCAUGUGACGGCAGGAUCACACUGCCCUUCGAUGUGGCAGUGAUGGAAUAUGCCAUGUGCUUGCUCAGAAGAAAUGCAUCGGAGGAAGUAGAGAGCGCGUUCCUGAGCUCUGUAGUGACGCCUUGCCAAUAUACAAGCUGUACGGCGCCACCUGCAUCGCUGCACCAGCAGCUUGCAGUUUGUAGCUCCUGA